GAGUGUCCAAAAUAGCUUUCUUUGAAUUCUGCAUCGUGUAGAUGCCAGUCUUAUAAUGGAUCUCUCAGUCACAUCAACGCCCGAGUCUAUGGUGAUGAUAAUGUUUGUGCAAAGUGGAUGCCAAGUGACUGCACAAUCAAGGUUUCUGAGUAGUUGAAAUAGAUAAGUCUUGAGUCAAUCAGUACAUCUGUACCACAUUCAUGUGGCAAAUGCUGCUUUAUGGAGAUGUUUCUAAUACUGACCUACAAUAAUUCAGCCAAGAUCACGUUUCUACUGUCUUCAGGAAAUGAGAAAAAUGAAUCCAGGAAAUUUCCAUCUUUAACUAUACUCUGUAAAUGUGCUGUCCAAUACACAGAUAGCUACUGAGCACUGGAAUAUAGCUAGUCUGAAUGGAGAUGUUCUCGAGCAGUUAAAGUGAAAACAAGAUCACGGAAAAGGAGAUAUAUUUUGGUAGAUCCAAGAAUCUAUGUUUGAUAGAGUCUUCACAGAAAGAGUCGAAAUUGACAACAUGCUUAUUGCUUUGGCUUUGGAUGUUGGUUGGGAACAUGGUUCUUGAAUAUCCACACUUCAAAGUAGAUCUUACUUUUUGGAAGAGUAGAAAGCUCAUUACGUUGGUUAAUUUGAGAAGUAAGACAAGGGCUCAGAAAGGUACUAGUUAUUAGUACCUUAUACACUAGCCUGCCUGGCAUUCUUACCAUGACAGUGAAUUGUCAUGGUAAGAGUUGUGGUUUUAAACCUCUUUUCCCCAGAUGUUACAUGGAGUAAUAUAUGUAUCCACAUACAUAUUAAAGUAGGAGGUAGAUAUUAUAUUGACUGGUGACUUGAGGACAUGAUACACAAAAUAGGUAACGUUUGAUGAAGCUUGAAAUGAGCCAAGAAAGGACAAAUCUGGAUAACACACUGUAGCCUUGGUGAUGAGAAAGGAGAAAGGAAAGAUAAUGAAGAUGGGUAUCAUAUUGCUUUGCCUUGAAUUUGCAGAAAGAGAUAUUUGGAUUAUGAUGUUACCUUAAAAAAGGCAGUUGAUAUUACUCAGUGAAAGUUCAGAAGCCAAGAAAACUAUGUGUGUGUACAUAUAUGUAUAUAAUGUACAUAUGUUUAUUUCUUUUUUUAAAAAAUUCUUACCUACCUCUCUACUAUAACAAAAUUAAUUUCAUUCUUUUUUGUUGCAUUUAAACUUUAUCUUGGUAAUGUUCAUAUUACAAAUUUGCCUAUAUUGUUGGUAUUAUAUUGUUACUAUAUAGAUAUAUUUGUAAGCAUAAAUGCUUGGUAUUCAAAUGUUUAACUAGUAAUAUUCAUAUUACAAAUUUGCAUAUAUGUUUGGUAUGAUAUUGUUACUAUAUAGAUAUGUUAUAUUUGUAAGCAUCAAUGCGUGGUAUUCAAAUGUUUAACAACUCUCCAUUUUUUUCUCAAGUAACCCUCUGACAAAAGGCUGUAUUUAUAUAAAACUGACAGAUUUUUAUGGUGGAUCAUUUUUCUUACAUUAAUUACAUAGGUAGUAUUAUUUUAGUUGGAGGUCAAAUAACAUACUAUCAAUGACAAUUUAGAGAUAAAUUGUUUGAAAUCCUGAUAUGGAAGAGCUAUAGAAAUAACAUGGGUGACCUCACGUUUUUAAGAUAGCCUCUCUGCACCAUAUGGCUAGUCCCAAAUGGAGAUCAAGAAAGCAAGGUCAUUUUUAAUCUCUACAUACAUCUUGCUUUCCUGGUUUAACACUAAUCAUUCAUUGUAUUCUGCAUAUUGGAAGGGAGCAGAUGAAGGAUACUAAGAAUUCACUUUGAAAACAUGUACUCAAUGUUUCAUAUCCAAAAACUCCCAGGGAUUAAACAAUCAGAAAACCCUACAUCAUUUGCAUUUUAAUGGAUACAAAUAAGAGUUGAAACAUUUCUUUACACUUAAACUACCAUGAACAAGCUUAUAUAGCUAUUAGGAGUGAAAAUGGGGAGGAGGAGGAAGAAGGGGACUCUGAAAUUUAAGGAAAAUUCAUUUCUUUUACAGAGUUGGAGCUAGGCUGAUUAAGUCAAGGUGCCUAACUCUGCUAGAGACACAUUUUCCUAAUGAAAAAUACUGUAACUUCAGACUUUUCACAUUUUCCAUGAAUAGAUGUCAUUACUCAUUAUCACAUUUAUCAUUACUUGUAAAACAAUGAGGUGGCAGCAGGGGGGGAAAGGACUAAAAUAGAAUUGAAAAAAAAAUUGGUACUAGCUAAGGUAAUUUAAAUGAAGCUUUUUUUUUUCCAGAAGCAAAGGUGACCUCCAUGAUUACUCCACCAUACCUUUGGGAAACUGACAUAAGAUAGUGGACAACUAUAAUGGAAAGAAUAGUGACUACGGUUUCUCUCCACCCUCCUCUAAUUCUGCAUUAGAAAUGAAAAAAAGCUUGACUGGUAAAAUUCUGAAACAGACAAUGAGCUAUUUAAGUGAUAAUUACUGAAUCUCAUUUUUAGAAGCCCAUUAACAGGUAUCUCUUUAGUCAUGAGAAAAUUAUUCAUAAAUAUUAAAUUGUGUGAUCACAUUGCAAGUUUCUUUCAAAUUAUAGAAUCUGACUAAUUUCACAGUAACUGUUUGCCAUUAAUUGGCUUUAAGAUUUAAUCAAGUAAAGACAUCAUUGUUUAAUUCUAAUUUGUAAAGCCAAAAAAAGUGUAACAUUAUUAUCUUUAGUCAAACUUCUUCAAAUGUUUAUGCAAGGUAGAAAUUGAAAACAACAGGUACUCCUGUGCUUACAGUUUCUCCAGUUCAAAGAACAAAAUUCAUCAAUGGGAAGCUGCAGUGGAUUGUAGAGUAAAAUCUUGCUGCCCAACUAGAGAAUAAAAAGAGUUUGACCAGACUUAUAACAAUGACAUAAUGGCCAUUUUGUUGAGUUCUUAAUGAGUUUAGUAGGUAGUGAAAUGGGAAAGGUUCCCUUGUCCCCCUUGCAGGGUGUGUGGUGGGGGUGUAGCUUGCUUCUUCAGUGCCCCACUGCUCAAACUUCUAGGGGAGCAUACAGAUGGGCAGGUUGUGGGGCUCCAACCCCACGGCAGUGUCUAGGGGUGAAUGUUUACAGCUCCUGAAGUGCCAGUGGGCGUGUGUUACAGGGUGCUCUGUUAGUUUGCCCUCUCUAGGCAGCUUGUGUUAACCAGCUCAGUUGGACUUUGUUGCAAGGAUAGAAGACUUUCUGUAUCUCCAGGUUCUUGCCUUGGUGUACCAGAAGAAUCAAUCACACAUGGUCUUGGAGAAUGAGUGCAAAGUUUUAUUGAGUGCAGGUAGCUCUCUGCUGCUCUUCCACCAGUAUGCUCUCCACAACCAGCCGCUUGUGUGUUCUUCCACUGAUGUGUCCUCUCAAUGUCCAGACGCUUCUGUCUCUGCCUUGCUAGGAUCUUGGGCUUUUAUAGACCUUGGAUGGGGAGGUGGUGAGCCAGGGUGGUCUUGGGAAAUGCAACAUUUGGGCGUGAAGUCAGGAGUGCCUGUUCUCACCUAGGUCCGUGGGGGUAAAGCCCUAGCUAGGGACCAUGCCUUCCUCUACCCAGCACUUCCCUUCCUCAUUCUGUAUCAUUUAAAGAGACCACACUCCUCCCUUCCCAGCACUCCUGUAUCAGUAGGAAGAUAGAAGAAAACUCUAGAUCACCAUCAAGUUCAAGUCAUUUCAGAUUUUCAGUGAAUAUAUGUUUGCUGUGUCCUUCAGGUACCAAGAUGCAGGGAAAUGAUUAAAAGGCCCUGAGAUAUACAAUACUGAAUGGUAGGGAGGAGGAGGCCUUCUAGGUUGGAAAGUCCCGUAGCUGACUAGCUACUAAAUGUUCUAUCAGCUAUUGAUAAGACCGUGUUCAGAACAUACGGAAAUUGUAGGAUAUAAUUUUUGUAUGUUACUUGUCACCAGCUGUUCAAUAUUAUGAAUUAUUCCUGAGACAUUACAGAAGUUGAGAAUGAAUUGUGCCCAUAAACAGAAAACAUAUUAACCUAUACAAUACACUCGUUUUCCUUUUAGAGACACGAAUACCCCUAGCUCAAGGAGUCGAUAUGUAUAAAAUAGGCAACUAGGGGCAUGCAAAUAUUGUGGAAAUGGUGUUUCUGAUUGGCACUGGCAGAUUUAUUAUUCGAAAUAAUCCUGUUGGCAAAAAAAGGAAAUUUUUUUUCCGUAUCAUAAAAUCUGAUUUCAAAAACUUGCUCCUUUUUGACUUUCUCUAUAAGCUUGUAAGUCUGCAUUCUUCUCUCAUUUUUAUAUCCAGGCUCUAUUGUAAUUUAUCUGUUGCUAACCAGUUUUCAAUAAAAUAUAUAAUAAAUAAGAUUUUCGGUUUUUA
Long non-coding RNA from Homo sapiens (human), 4267 nucleotides. The record is from Ensembl. Lineage: Eukaryota; Metazoa; Chordata; Mammalia; Primates; Hominidae.